GACGAACGCUGGCGGCGUGCUUAACACAUGCAAGUCGAACGGAAAGGCUCCAGCUUGCUGGAGUACUCGAGUGGCGAACGGGUGAGUAACACGUGGGUAAUCUGCCCUGCACUCUGGGAUAAGCCUGGGAAACUGGGUCUAAUACUGGAUAUGACCUUUCUCCUUAUGGGGUUGGGUGGAAAGUUUUUCGGUGUAGGAUGAGCCCGCGGCCUAUCAGCUUGUUGGUGGGGUGAUGGCCUACCAAGGCGACGACGGGUAGCCGGCCUGAGAGGGUGAUCGGCCACAUUGGGACUGAGAUACGGCCCAGACUCCUACGGGAGGCAGCAGUGGGGAAUAUUGCACAAUGGGCGGAAGCCUGAUGCAGCGACGCCGCGUGCGGGAUGACGGCCUUCGGGUUGUAAACCUCUUUCAGCAGGGACGAAGCGUAAGUGACGGUACCUGCAGAAGAAGCACCGGCUAACUAUGUG
Molecule: ribosomal RNA, 467 nt
Filed under: uncultured bacterium
Lineage: Bacteria
Description: partial 16S ribosomal RNA
Rfam family: Bacterial small subunit ribosomal RNA
Source: RNAcentral